AAGCAAAACGGUGCCGUCAGAUUUAAACAAGAGCCUAGCCAGAGCUUUUCUGUAGUGGCAGCGUUCCAGUUGAAUUGGCAUCAGCGGCCCAAUUCAAUAGCGGCCCAAUUCAAUAGCGGCCCAGAUCAAGUGUGGUGCAUCAGACCAAUGUCAGCCCAAUUGCUUCCAAUCACUUGCAUUGCAGCGGUGCAGAAAACAGCGGCCAAAUUCAACCACCACCUCCCUAACUUUUUUUUAUUACAAAAAUAUCCUUUUUCCUUUACUUUUUUAACCUUUUUACUUUUUUUUUUUUACUUUUAACGUUAUUCAGCAGACCCUCAACCCUUAUUUUUACUCUGCUCACAAUCGCACCUCCCCAAAUUUUGAGAUCCGUCUCUUCGUGCGGUGGUGUGGUGCAGUGUACCUGUUCUUGCUCUUCGUGCGGUGGUAUUUCGCCGGGAGUGGUUGGCAUUGGUGGUAUGUGGUGCAGUUUCGUCUACCAGAGAGAGAGAGAAAAAGGGUGCGGUGGUGAUUCCAGAUGCUGUGAAAAUGGGGAAAAGUGAGCAACAGGAUGUGCUGGAAGAAGGACAGAGUGGUGUGAGUGAGGUUGAGGCUCCACUCUGUUGUGUCCUUCUUCGACCAUUCAGUUUGAAGUGUCUGUUCCUUCUCCUUCUCAAUUUGUCGGCUUUGAUUUCUUCACUCUUUUGGGUUCUUCCCAGGCACACCGUUACUUAUAGUUUCCAUGGAAGAGAUGUAAUCAAGCAAAAUGCUGCUGUUCAGACAUCCUUCAGACUGGAAAAACCAGUUUCAUAGCUUAUUCCAUAUAUUGAAAGGUUAGAAUAUGAUAUAUAUGUUAUUCACAUGUACUGACGUGGUGUUUGGUGUUCUCUGUGAUCUGAUGGAGAAUUUUGAUGACUUCAAGGAUGAAUUGAAGUUUGGAUUGCAUCUAAACUCUAACGAGCAGUGGUUGUCCUAGUGAUNAAAUAUGGUUUGAGUUNGAAUCCCCUUUUCAGUAAGCUGUGAAAGAUAAUCUAUCCAUUUAAUCAAUUGUAAGAAAAUUGUAAAAGAAAUUAAAGAGGAAUUUGUCAAGCAUUUUGAGUUGAAGGUAGCGUAUAUAUUGCAAACUGCUUUAUUUGGUGAGUAUGAUACAGAU
Molecule: RNA transcript, 1132 nt
Organism: Vigna radiata var. radiata (mung bean)
Lineage: Eukaryota; Viridiplantae; Streptophyta; Magnoliopsida; Fabales; Fabaceae
Exons: 2
Source: RefSeq, a predicted model, not a curated record